Molecule: ribosomal RNA, 253 nt
Filed under: uncultured bacterium
Lineage: Bacteria
Description: partial 16S ribosomal RNA
Rfam family: Bacterial small subunit ribosomal RNA
Source: RNAcentral
UACGGAGGGUGCGAACGUUAAUCGGAAUCACUGGGCGUAAAGCGCGCGUAGGCGGUCUGUUAAGUGGGAUGUGAAAUCCCCGGGCUUAACCUGGGAAUUGCAUUUCAAACUGGCCGACUAGAGUACGGUAGAGGGAGGUAGAAUUUCCUGUGUAGCGGUGAAAUGCGUAGAUAUGCGGAGGAACACCGAUGGCGAAGGCAAUCCCCUGGGCCUGCACUGACGCUCAUGCACGAAAGCGUGGGGAGCAAACAGG